Molecule: ribosomal RNA, 376 nt
Filed under: uncultured bacterium
Lineage: Bacteria
Description: bacterial SSU rRNA
Rfam family: Bacterial small subunit ribosomal RNA
Source: RNAcentral
CACUUUCAGUAGGGAGGAAGGUAGUGUAGUUAACACCUUGCACUAUUUGACGUUACCUACAGAAGAAGCACCGGCUAACUACCGUGCCAGCAGCCGCGGUAAUACGGAGGGGUGCGAGCGUUAAUCGGAAUUACUGGGCGUAAAGCGCAUGCAGGCGGCCUCGUUAAGUCAGAUGUGAAAGCCCGGGGCUUAACCUCGGAAUUGCAUUUGAAACUGGCAGGCUAGAGUCUUGUAGAGGGGGGUAGGAAUUUCAGGUGUAGCGGUGAAAUAGCGUAGAGAUCUGAAGGAAUACCAGUGGCGAAGGCGGCCCCCUGGACAAAGACUGACGCUCAGAUGCGAAAGCGUGGGGAGCAAACAGGAUUAGAUACCCUGGUAG